AUGCUCCAGGACGGCCCGCACACCGUCAUCUCCAUUGGAUCUGCGCCGAGCAAGGCAGCUUCCGAACACAAGAGCGAGAAAGCGGGGAAGGAGUGCGGGUUGCCCGUGAUCAUGCCCGGGGAUAACAUCGCCAAGUUCUACGCCAGGCCAUGCCCGCACGAGGCCUGUUUACCUGCAGCAGCAGGAGAGAAGGGCCAAGUCGAGGUGCAAGUCAGAUGUGCAGUUUCGUGA
This 231-nucleotide ribosomal RNA is filed under the name Triticum aestivum (bread wheat). RNAcentral's name for it is "partial small subunit ribosomal RNA". The record is from RNAcentral. Lineage: Eukaryota; Viridiplantae; Streptophyta; Magnoliopsida; Poales; Poaceae.